This 465-nucleotide ribosomal RNA is filed under the name uncultured bacterium. Its description in RNAcentral is "partial 16S ribosomal RNA". It matches the Rfam family "Bacterial small subunit ribosomal RNA", at positions 28 to 507 of the family's 1533-position model. The record is from RNAcentral.
GACGAACGCUGGCGGCGUGCUUAACACAUGCAAGUCGAACGGAAAGGCCCUGCUUGCAGGGUACUCGAGUGGCGAACGGGUGAGUAACACGUGGGUGAUCUGCCCUGCACUUCGGGAUAAGCCUGGGAAACUGGGUCUAAUACCGGAUAGGAUCCAUUUUUAGUGUGAUGGUUGGAAAGUUUUUUCGGUGUAGGAUGAGCUCGCGGCCUAUCAGCUUGUUGGUGGGGUAAUGGCCUACCAAGGCGGCGACGGGUAGCCGGCCUGAGAGGGUGGACGGCCACAUUGGGACUGAGAUACGGCCCAGACUCCUACGGGAGGCAGCAGUGGGGAAUAUUGCACAAUGGGCGCAAGCCUGAUGCAGCGACGCCGCGUGGGGGAUGACGGCCUUCGGGUUGUAAACUCCUUUCGCUAGGGACGAAGCUUUUUGUGACGGUACCUAGAUAAGAAGCACCGGCUAACUACGUG